AGUGCUUCCCUUGCUGCUCAGUCAAUGAUUUGAGGCCUCUUUAUGUACUGAAACCUCAUUGCUUGCACUGCUGUUGCAGCUGAGGGUCAAGUCAGGAACGGAUCCAGCAAAGGCUGACGUUAUUCCAGGGCACUCUGAAUUGGUGCACUAAGAACUGUUGUGACAGAACACCUAGCCAAACCUCUUUUUCAGCUUCAGUUAUAUCAACACUGGGGUUAUACAAUAUACUAGAACAGCCUUCCAGAAAAAAAUUAUCUUUGGGGUUUAUAAAUCUUACUUACACACUUACAAAUCACAAAGACUCCAGUUUGGCAAUAACACUUGUCUCUGUUAUUGCUCAGUCUCCAGGUACUUCUUGCUUCUUGUUCUCUUUCAAAUGUUUUUGUCUCCCUGGAGCACCACCCCCUUCCCCAGCCAGUUCCACUCUGCUCCUAAUGGAGAUAGGGUUAAAUUUACAAAGUGUUUUUGUCCUAAUUACAAGCCUUUCAGCUAGUACCUUGGUCUCAGCCUCAGCAGGAAAUGAUAUGCAAAAUAUACUUUCAUGCAUCUGACAGUCCCCAAAACUACCGGUCAUAUAAAUUCUGGCAAUUUACUCUAAUUAAAGCUAAGCAGCGUCGUGUGUGCUUAAACGGUCAAUCUGUCUUGAAGUAAUUACACCUGAAAGCAGGAAUACAUCAGUUUCCUUCUCCUGGAAUUAAACUCAGAUGGGGCAGCCGAGAAACAGUCAAGGGACAUUUGCUAAUGAUUAAAUCCAAAUCACAUCUCCUUGCAGUGCUCUUAGCAAGUACAAGCUGCUGCAUGGAUGCUGAUGGAUUUGUGGAGGAAGGAAGCAGAUGGUACAAGGCACUUGUCAACACAGCGCUGCCUACACAAGACACUCUCUCUCUCACACCCAGUGCUGCAGAGGCUCGUGCUCUGAAGCAGUGCAGCAGGGAGGCAAAGCGAGGCUCUGGGAGAAUGUAAAAUACAUGCUAUGCUUGCAAUCAGAAGAGCCAGCAGGCAGAGCUCCUGGUGUGCCAGAGAACUCCCACCUUCCACACGGCCAUGUCAACGAUGUCUCUCGUCUCUUGAUGGUCCUUUAGAGAAGACCAAAGAUGACUUUCUAGAAAUAGCAACAAUAUUGACUCACUUAGGAAAAGAUGAACAGGCUGCAUUGCUCCAUCCAAAGCCUCCUUCCUGCUCUUGUGUACAGAGCAAGGAGCACAGAAGGCAGUGAAGGAAAGACAAAAAAAGAAAUCAUUAACCACUAACCACACUUACACAACCAUAUUUUGCUGUGCCACUCAACAGCAGCACAUAACUCCAAAUUCCCAUAACUCCUGACACAGUGCUCAAAGACUGCUGUUAGUCAGAAGGAUGCUUACUUUGGCCCCCUAGGAGCUGACAAAUUCCGCUUUAUCUCCCUGGGAUCUGACGAGCCCAUCCUGUCACACGGGAAGACGAUUAUGAAUGACAAUGCAAUGAGUAACUUCUUAAACAGGCAAAAAAAAAAUCUGACUUGAAUAUUCUGCUUAGAUUCUCAUCCUUUGCUAGUUCACUGAUAUGUGCUAAGUUUCCCAAAAGGAGGACACAUCACUAGAGGACAAGCAGGAACCAAGUUUACUCCCAUAUCAAUAUAUAAAAGCUUAUAUAGAUGCAUCACUGAAAGAUUAACCCAAAUCCACGUUCAGCCUCUGAAACCUUAGUUUGAAAGAUGCAGUGAACUAUGAAAAGACAGACCAAGGACCUGUGCAGCUCUUUAAGCUAUCUGUGAUUUGUCCAUCCUCAAAACAAACUCAAAAAGCAGUUUUUUGUCAAGUUUAUGCUUGCACUCCUUUUACAAGAAGUGAAAUGCUGUUCCCUCCCAUUAUCCCAUUAAUCAUCUUCCUUUUUUAAACACAGAUGUGGUUUUAUUCAGGUUAAACUAAAAUAUACUGAAGGAUACCUAUUUAGGAGUCAGAAUUCUUUAUUCCUUAAUUAUGACACAAUCCAGCCAUACUCAUCAGAACAGGCCAGUUCUUUCUAUCCCUCCGAACUGGGACCUUUCCAAAAUGCCAAAACCAGAUCUCUUCUGUUGUACCUGAAAUAAUCUACUGGUACUUAUCUAGAAAUAUUCUGGGUUUUCAAAAAUCAAGCAUAAACAUGUCAGAAAUCAUUCUGUGACUGAAUGUCAUAGUUUGUGUUUUGUUAAAAUAUUCCAGAACAUUAACCUGCUAAAACACUUGGGAGCGGAGGGGGUGCCUUUAAAAGCUGCUUUGGCAUUAAAAAACGAGCAGCAUUGGAUACAGAAUAGAAGGGAAGAGGCAAAACCAAAGAACACAGUUUUCCAUUAUCAGAACCAGGCAAAGCGGGAUCAGCUGCUUUUUGAAGAUUUGUUGUUGUGAGAGACCUCACAUAGUCCCCAAGGCUGCAUUUUCCAUUCCAGUCUCGCCGUGGAGUAUUGGUUGCAGCAGGACUGUUAAUCACUGCUAAUUGUGAGGACAGCACUGGGGCAGGAACAACUGUCCCCAGCGAACCAGUCUUCACUGCCAGAAACACAGUAUCAGCAAUGACAGCAAAGCCCCAGGCACUAGCAGAAGACUCUCUCCUCUCCUAGGAAUUGCCCACAUCUUCCAUGGAUACCGUGAAGAAUCCAGGUCACAGUCUUUGUAACAUUAUGUUGAAUGACCAAAAGGUUUGCAAUGAAACACU
Molecule: long non-coding RNA, 2670 nt
Organism: Passer domesticus (house sparrow)
Lineage: Eukaryota; Metazoa; Chordata; Aves; Passeriformes; Passeridae
Exons: 3
Source: RefSeq, a predicted model, not a curated record